RNAcentral lists this ribosomal RNA (253 nucleotides) under uncultured bacterium. RNAcentral's name for it is "partial 16S ribosomal RNA". It matches the Rfam family "Bacterial small subunit ribosomal RNA", at positions 524 to 776 of the family's 1533-position model. The record is from RNAcentral.
UACGUAGGCAGCAAGCGUUGUUCGGAGUUACUGGGCGUAAAGCGUGUGUAGGCGGAUUGCUAAGUACCUUGUGAAAUCCCACGGCUCAACCGUGGAACUGCUUGGUAUACUGGUUAUCUUGAGCCACUUAGGGGCGAGCGGAACAAAUGGUGGAGCGGUGAAAUGCGCAGAUAUCAUUUGGAACACCAAUGGUGAAAACAGCUCGCUGGGAGUGUGCUGACGCUGAGACACGAAAGCCAGGGGAGCGAACGGG